UACGUAGGGUGCAAGCGUUAAUCGGAAUUACUGGGCGUAAAGCGUGCGAAGGCGGUUUUGUAAGUCUGAUGUGAAAUCCCCGGGCUCAACCUGGGAAUUGCAUUGGAGACUGCAAGGCUAGAAUCUGGCAGAGGGGGGUAGAAUUCCACGUGUAGCAGUGAAAUGCGUAGAGAUGUGGAGGAACACCGAUGGCGAAGGCAGCCCCCUGGGUCAAGAUUGACGCUCAUGCACGAAAGCGUGGGGAGCAAACAGG
RNAcentral lists this ribosomal RNA (253 nucleotides) under uncultured bacterium. Its description in RNAcentral is "partial 16S ribosomal RNA". It matches the Rfam family "Bacterial small subunit ribosomal RNA", at positions 524 to 776 of the family's 1533-position model. The record is from RNAcentral.